RNAcentral lists this ribosomal RNA (251 nucleotides) under uncultured prokaryote. RNAcentral describes it as "partial 16S rRNA". It matches the Rfam family "Bacterial small subunit ribosomal RNA", at positions 525 to 775 of the family's 1533-position model. The record is from RNAcentral.
ACGUAGGGGGCAAGCGUUGUCCGGAAUGAUUGGGCGUAAAGGGCGCGUAGGCGGCCUGGUAAGUCUGGAGUGAAAGUCCUGCUUUUAAGGUGGGAAUUGCUUUGGAUACUGUCGGGCUUGAGUGCAGGAGAGGUAAGUGGAAUUCCCGGUGUAGCGGUGGAAGGCGUAGAGAUCGGGAUGAGGAGCAGUGGGGUGGGGGACUUACAGGAAUGUAACUCACGCUGCGGCGGCUGAGUGUAGAAAACAAGGAG